GACGAACGCUGGCGGCGUGCUUAACACAUGCAAGUCGAACGGAAAGGCCCUGCUUUUGUGGGGUGCUCGAGUGGCGAACGGGUGAGUAACACGUGAGUAACCUGCCCUUGACUUUGGGAUAACUUCAGGAAACUGGGGCUAAUACCGGAUAGGAGCUCCUGCUGCAUGGUGGGGGUUGGAAAUUUUCGGCGGUUGGGGAUGGACUCGCGGCUUAUCAGCUUGUUGGUGGGGUAGUGGCUUACCGAGGCUUUGACGGGUAGCUGGCCUGAGAGGGUGACCGGCCACAUUGGGACUGAGAUACGGCCCAGACUCCUACGGGAGGCAGCAGUGGGGAAUAUUGCACAAUGGGCGGAAGCCUGAUGCAGCAACGCCGCGUGCGGGAUGACGGCCUUCGGGUUGUAAACCGCUUUCGCCUGUGACGAAGCGUGAGUGACGGUAAUGGGUAAAGAAGCACCGGCUAACUACGUG
RNAcentral lists this ribosomal RNA (468 nucleotides) under uncultured bacterium. RNAcentral describes it as "partial 16S ribosomal RNA". It matches the Rfam family "Bacterial small subunit ribosomal RNA", at positions 28 to 507 of the family's 1533-position model. The record is from RNAcentral.